UCUCUCACCAUCUCAUUAUAUCAAUCUCAAACUCAGUAGCUCACUAUCUCAAAUCCGUUCGAUUUACAAAGGAGACCCAAAUUGAAGACCUAGCUCGAAGAAGACCCAUUGGAUUUACAAAGUAGCUUGGAGCAGCUCAAUUGUUUCGAUUGAAUUUUAGAGUUUCAAUUGGUUCAAUUGAGUUUUAGGGUUUCGAUUGGUUCAAUUGGGUUUUAGGAUUUCGAUUAGUAAGACCCAUCUUCGCUUCUCUGUCUCCAUCUUCUUCUUCAAGGUAUAUAUCUUAGUGUAUCUCCUUCUCUGCCUCAAUUGGUUCAAUUUCAAUUUCAAUUCUUAUUUUUUAAUUUAUUAUUCAAUUGUAUUUCAUUCGAACAUAUCUGGAGCUUGUUUAUGGAGCUUGUUCAUCAUUAGUCUGGACCUUUAUCGAGCUUGGAAUUGGCAAUGCUCAGACAUCAUUGAUAGAUUGGACAGGGAUUGAUUGUUUGAACCAGAAACCUAGUCACCCUUUUGGCAAUGCUUUCAAGCAGUUAGUGAAGGGGAUGCUUGCUGGUGAGGCAGUCAUUCUUCCAUAAUGAUGUGAAUAACUUAUCUGGUUGUCGGGGAUGCCAUUCCAUUUUCCGUAUCACACAUGUGGCUUGUCUCUGAAUAUUGGAUUGGUUUGUCCAGAGAAAGAGUUAGACAAGUUGGACUUGUUACACUGGAGAAACUAAAACAUGCUGCUACGAGGAAAAUGAGGCCAUGCUCCUAAAACAAUGAUUUGAUAUGCAGAGAAUACCGAUAAGAAGGCCAAAUCUGAUAAUGGAAAUGUAGCUAAGCGGCUAGUUUACUAGUUUUAUGUUGAUGUGUAUUUCUUUGGAAGUACUUAAAUUGGAAUGGUUGAAAUUCUAGUAAUAGCUAUGCUAUUUUGAUUUUGAGAA
Molecule: long non-coding RNA, 914 nt
Organism: Daucus carota subsp. sativus
Lineage: Eukaryota; Viridiplantae; Streptophyta; Magnoliopsida; Apiales; Apiaceae
Exons: 4
Source: RefSeq, a predicted model, not a curated record